UACGUAGGGUGCGAGCGUUGUCCGGAAUUACUGGGCGUAAAGAGCUCGUAGGUGGUUUUGUCGCGUUGUCCGUGAAAACUCACAACUCAACUGUGGGCGUGCGGGCGAUACGGGCAGACUGGAGUACUGCAGGGGAGACUGGAAUUCCUGGUGUAGCGGUGAAAUGCGCAGAUAUCAGGAGGAACACCGAUGGCGAAGGCAGGUCUCUGGGCCACUACUGACGUGAGAAGCGAAAGCAUGGGGGAGCGAAACAGGA
RNAcentral lists this ribosomal RNA (256 nucleotides) under uncultured bacterium. RNAcentral describes it as "partial 16S ribosomal RNA". It matches the Rfam family "Bacterial small subunit ribosomal RNA", at positions 524 to 777 of the family's 1533-position model. The record is from RNAcentral.